CAAUGGGCGAAAGCCUGACGCAGCAACGCCGUGUGGGGGAUGAAGGUCUUCGGAUUGUAAACCUCUGUCAGGAGGGAAGAAGUGGUAUUUGUCUAAUAGGCAGGUACUUUGACGGUACCUCCAGAGGAAGCACCGGCUAACUCCGUGCCAGCAGCCGCGGUAAUACGGAGGGUGCAAGCGUUACUCGGAAUCACUGGGCGUAAAGGACGCGUAGGCGGGCUUGUAAGUCAGGUGUGAAAUCCUACAGCUUAACUGUAGAACUGCACUUGAAACGACGAGCCUAGAGUAUGGGAGGGGGGGAUGGAAUUAGUGGUGUAGGGGUAAAAUCCGUAGAUAUCACUAGGAAUACCUAAAGCGAAGGCGAUCUCCUGGAACAUAACUGACGCUAAGGCGUGAAAGCGUGGGGAGCAAACAGGAUUAGAUACCCCCGUAGUC
This 435-nucleotide ribosomal RNA is filed under the name uncultured bacterium. Its description in RNAcentral is "partial 16S ribosomal RNA". It matches the Rfam family "Bacterial small subunit ribosomal RNA", at positions 369 to 795 of the family's 1533-position model. The record is from RNAcentral.